CCAAUCACGAACGUGCAUUCAGCGGUCAUGUUUAUGAAGACGAACCACCGUCGUCUGCGUGUUGUGAUUGAACCAUUGAACGUCCCCGCGUCGUAAAUGGGAAAACUUGGAAGGAAAGUGCAAAAUGGUCUCAACCUUUCUCAAAACUGAUUUUCUGGAACGCGUCUUGCGCUAGGGUUUUCGGCUCUGUGUUGGCGGUUGUGUCAGGUUUGUUUGUGUUUGUGUGUGUGUCAGUCUGUCUGUGUUCGUGUGUGUAUGACAUAGACAAUUCGUGAAGAACUUGUGUUUGAGAAAUUGCAUCUGUGUGCGACAUUCUAGAACUCCCUGAUGUUAGCGCUAUGAAGCAACAGUGGCUAUGAAUGGCGUGCAUAGUAUGUGGACAGAUGGAGACAGGACCGCAGGAAGGAGUGGGGAACGGGGUGCUAGACUACUCAACGCUGAACUAAGUUCAAUAGAUCACGUCGCACGGGGAGGAGAUUUAAACUUCGCGAAGUUCGAGACAAAUGUUUCCCUUUCCCGGCAACUGAAGUUGGGUCUGCGUCAGCGCUGAUGAAAAUCAGUGUGUGAGCGACCCACCCACUGGCACGAGCGUGAUAGGACGGAGAAAGAGAAUUCCACUCUGGUGGAGGCUGGAAUGUACAGCAAUAUAUCCUUGAAGGCUUCAAGGUCAAAUCGUACAUCAUGGAAUAUAUGUGAGCGGCACAAACAUUAAGAUAUUUUGGAUAUCAAAGCGAAUGACUCUUUGUCUCGAAUCGAAUACGGAAUUCUAUGUUUGAAUUUUGAAUCGAAUCAACGUUUCUUUCAAAACUAACACAUAUACACGUAGUUCCGAACCCAUUCACCCAAAACAAGCAAAAAAUUUUGUACGUAUUGUUUGGAAAUCCGCACGCAUGUGAGGUAUAGCUCACUGUACCAAACCAUCGUCGUUUUCGGAAUUCCCACACAACACAUUCGAUUUCCCAAAAUGCAGAACAGUGCCGACGCUUGCGAAACUCCGAAACUUGGCAAGGCCCUAACAACAUAUCACCGUUCUGGGUCAUAUGGGUUCAUUCAUAGGCCUGGUCCUAUGCAUAAGCCAUAUGGGUUCUGCACACGCUUUCAAUGGAAAAAUCGUGAAGCUUUCAGGACUCAUGUAAUACACGGAGGCCUAGGCCCCGUAGGAGUGUGUCUUCUUCCGUUCUGGAGCCUAUCUACAGAGAGGCCCACCAGCGAGCACCACCACUGCCCUAUCCCAUCUUGUUACUCUGCCAUAAAAUGGGAGACACUCUUUAAGAAUUUGGGAAAAAUAUUUAUUUUACAUAAAAGUAACGGGACAAAGGUGAAGCCAGCGUCAACGCAGGGUAUCACAGCAUAAAUUGAAGCAAGCUGGCCAACACAUUUCGCUCAAAAUGCUUGUAAACAUGUACAAUAUGUAUAAAUAAACAUUGCUUUACAACUAUGCCUUAAAUAAUUAAAAUUGCAUGAAUGCAACAGUAAAUGUAACACGCUGCUGGUAGCCUUAGCGUAGCGUGCUUGCAGAAAUGCUGCUCAGAGCAAUGGUGACCAGGCACUGCAUUAGAAAUUUUAAAAUUCUAAGUAGUAAGUAUAUAAGUAGACUAGAAAAGGUCUCAGGUAUGCGAACAUAUGCCGCCGCUCCGCUAAACUACUACGAGAUGAGGUCGUCAAGAACACGUCUGUCUAAAUUCAUUUUUCCAAAUGGUCAUUAAAAAUGCUGGGACGGCAUUACUGCUCACUGGAACCUUUAAAUUUGAAGAACAGGAGACUUCGCUACUGCCGGGCUACGAAUUCAUGCGGUGUCUUCUAGAAAUGUGUGGUGGGUGGUCUUCUGUCGCGGCGCACUUGACGAUAGGGGGCCGCCACUUUCUGCUCCGCGGUGAAAGAGAUGUCUCUUAGUAGAACCAACGAACCAACCAGCUUGGUCCCGCUCCCUUUGGAACGUCGCUAUUAAAGGGAAGUAGAAGAAGAAGCUCCGCACUCUCUUCCGUUGAAGCAUGUAGUCUUCAGUGCUCCAUGUGACGAUGCUGAGCUGCAUUUGUCCGAAUAACAUUCACAAAGAACAAGGUUCAAGCGUGAGUGAAACUAACACGUAAUCACAUGUAACACGGUAUCGAAGUUCUAUGGGAACUUUAUAGGUAGGGGGUGCUUUUUUUUGGUUAAACCCGAUUCCGCCCCCCACGAAAUGACCUCCGACCAAUUCGGGUCAAACCCGAUCGCUCCCCGAAUUCCAGUCACUAUGACAUCUUCGAGUGACGUUUCCACUGAAGACGAACAAAGGUUGCCACGUGUAACACAUGUAAGAAUGGGUCACUUACGUUCCCAGCAAUACACCAAUGUGUGUCAACACUGUCUAUGCCUUCGAGGAUUAUCGCUGGAAGGUCACGAUCCCCCCCCCCCCCCCCCAAAAAAAAAAAAAAAAAACGAGAAAGAGAGAUUAGGAAAGGACUUAAUAGACAAGAGGAUAAACAAAAACACCCAAUAACACCCGAAGGCACAAUUAUCGCCCGAUUUUCCCCGGAAUUACAGAUUUAAAAAAUAGCGCCCAAUUUUUAACCCCGAAAUCUGAGAAAGGCAUUUAACCCAAAAAAUUCGCUCCCUACUUUUGGGGGUUGAGGAAUCAACACCCCCAAACCCACCUUCCUGAACCAGCCAAUGACAUAACACUUAGUAGGCAUUAAAAAGGCGGCAAGACGUCGAGAUAUCUCCAUUAAUUAGACACUACUGCACUACUGCACGAGCAACCAUAUUUCUAAUGGCCACCAAGCUAAUGACAAAUUUGAAAGUGCCCUAAUGUGAUUAUUCUCCGCAUUUUUAAAUUGGUGCAGGUAAAAAAAAAAAAAAAAACACCCUGCGUAUAUUGCGGUAUCGUUAAUUUCCACCGACUCUACAUUGAUUUCGCAUCACGCAAAGGUGGCACACAAAGUGCGAAAAGGAUUUUAAAAAAAAAUUGCACACGACGGUGAGGAGGUUCACAAGCCUACGAAAAAGCCUUACCUAAUGGGGGACGUGGUUAACGGGUCUGAGGAGUUCGGCCAGUUCGUCCAGUUCUGCUCUGCUGCCGCGCAUGUAGACCAUGGUCUCCCAGAGGACGCGCACCAAGAGCCGAUUGUCCGUCUCGUUCAGGCACAUGUCCUCCGAGAUGGGAGCGUUGAGGCGAAAGUAGGGCACGUUUAUCGCACUGCACCACGCUUGGGCACGGUCCACCAGACGUCCGUUGGCCUGGGUCGCCUGGUCCACUAUCAGCUGUCCCAGGGCCUUGGCUCCAAAGGCCAUCUUGGCAGCGCCCAGGAUGCCCGUUCCCAUGUGCAGCAUGUCUAUCACGGUCACUGGAACCGUCGGCACUUUACCCGUACCCACCGACACAAUCACUUCCAUCGGCUCUACGUGUUCUUCCUGGCCCUGGGGAACGAGGAAAAACGAGCUCCCACAUAUUUAUGGGGGAAGGAUUGUUUAUGGAAAAUAGCGGGGAAAAUGGCAAUAUGCUGUGUAAGUAGGGCCUGACUUUUCGGGGUUAUACCCGAUUACCCCCCAAUAUUUACCUCCUGAUUGAAAUCAGGAAAAACAGGGUUUAACCCGUAGAUGGGUAGAAAUCCAGCGAACCGGUAGAGAUGUAGGAAGGAAGUUGCCUCAGGACAGAAGCCGCCGAUAUUUCGAACAGAGACUGUUCUUCUUCUGGGCACCGUCCUCAUCAUUGGCAUGGUAUUUAAAGGGUUAGGUGUGACGUGUUUAAAGGUUCAUGCGAAUUGUGGGUCAACAGCCCGGAGGGAAGAAAGGGUCCCUGCGGGCUUCUACGGCCGGAGUGAAUGGCUGCUCUGUUAGGGUGUGGAGGGGAUUAUGUGAACAUAGUGAUCUAGGCUACAGACCGGUUACAGAAAAUGGAAGGUUCACGGAGGGUUUAACCCGGUAUUUCCCCAAAAACUGCUGGACCAGGAGAAUCUGAAGUCAUCACAACUAACACAGAACUUUGAAAACUGUGUUGUAAAUGCAUAAAUAUGCUCAUAUAAACUGUCAAAACGGAGACCUGGCUGCCUCUUAGAUGCAUAGACUAAAUAUUGAUACUCUCUAUCUACUGGUGUGUCAUGUGUAUUAUGCCAAGUAAACCAAAGAUUCAUUGCUAUUCCAACCCAAUUCAACCAGAAUUAAGUUGAAUCAGGUUCAGUUCAACCCAAUUACACCCGAAUUAUUGAAGCAAAAUAUAACCCGAUAUUUACCCCCUCCCCCCAUUUUGCUGGAAAAUAUAACCCAAAAAAGUCAGGCCCUAUAUGUAAGUAGAUCAGCGUUCUGUACAUCUCCCCAGUUUCCCUCUUUCCCCUGUUAUCCAUGGAGCGACCUCAUUGGUCCCUUUCCCAAACAAGGGGGGGUAACAGCUCAAGGUUAGGCACACGCGGUCUCUUCUGCGAAUCUAAGCAGAGUACCGUGGAUGAGUUGCUGUCUUGCAAGCGGACAGACAUUUUGCCACAUGCCCAAUUUUUACCCUCCCAAAUGCUCAGACAAACUCAGAUGCUGUAUACACUCGGCCAUGCCACAAGCACGGAUUAUUUAACUGGGAGCCCUGUCUGAUAGUGAUAUAUCUGCCAAGUGAAGCUUUACUUGUGUUCUAAGAUAACACGUGUGAAAUGGCAGUACCGUAGCCUUGAGCGCCGCGUUGUAUUCGAUGAUCUCCGUCAUGGUGUCCAGCGUGGGAUUGUUGGAAAUGAGGCCCCCGUCCAGGAACCGUCCGAAGGGCCGGAAGUAAGUUGGGGCUGCUCCAGACGCACGCGCCGCUCGCCACACUAAUUGCUCUGUCAGCAUAAAUGAAAGCCACAUAUAUAAGUGGUACAAAUUUUGUCACGAGCUUUCCAUGAUGAAGUACUAAAUCUGUAACAAAGUGAGACUGAACAGAACAGGCUAGUAUAGUCAAAGGCAUGUAUAGUCAAAUCCAUAUCAUUGCUCCAUAUGUCACGAACAAAAGUUUUUAUGUCUGCCGUUGCACUAUAUCUUGGCGAAACCCCACAUAAUUAGGGCCGUGCAUUUUCAGGUUUUAUGUUGUUUCGAAAAUCUGGGGUAAAAAAAAAUUGGGGUUUAUCUCGGGAGCCGUAAAGCAGGCUGCAAUCGGGUGAUAUCGGGUGGAGAAAAAAAGUGCGCUUGUCGCAUUUUUAUCAACGUAAGAUGCGGAACAGCCAUGUUGAAUAUGCAGCGCAUAGCAUUCCGUUGUGCCUGUAUCACUAGCUGAAUGGGGACUUUGUCAAGUUAGUUUUCAGAAUUUUUCCAGAUUUACCCGACUGAUAAUGAUACAAAUCAUGGAAGGUAAAAACGGGUUUUAGCCUAAAACGUAGGGUUCUCUAUAUAAUCCACACAGAACAUACAUCAGAACUUUAGAACAUACCACAAGGGUGUGGUGGUGCAGGUGCAGGAAACUCUGAGUUGUUCUCCUCCCACCCCAAUAUAGUCUUUGGAGAAUCAUAGUUUCGAAACAGGUGUAGCGCAGCAGGAUGUCUGUCCGCCAUGACACCCGUAACGAUCAGCCUGCAGGAGACAUCGUAAAAGUUCCGCCAAGGUCUGCACGCCUGUUCGACUUACUUUGGAUGCGUAAUGUCGGUCAUCACCGUGUUUUCACCCAUUUCACGCUGAAGAAACCUUUCCAGGGAAUCAGCGUCGUGCGGUCGGCUGCCGAUGAACACCUUGUCCUUGAGGCCAAAAUAGAGUUGGAGACAUCUUCGUGGUGUUUUACCUAAAGGUGGACAGUCAGUGCGGGCAGUCAACCUCUAGCUGCUCAUUGAAACGAAAGACCAAGGCUCGUUAGCACAAAAACUGAGCAAGGCACCUAUCCGUAAGGAACUUUCUUCGUUAUCUUCCAGCUUGUGCCAAACACACUGUCAAAGCUGUGGCUGAGGGUUUUCCCUUACGUGAGGCUCCUAGCACAAUCUUUGAACAAACAGGCCCAGAGCUUUAAGACAGGCAGCUGUAUGUUUAGGGCCCUGUGUUUUAGGGUGAAACCAGAUAAAACCCAUUUUUAUCCCCCCCCUCCCCCUCGAUUUGAAUCAUCCUCCCUUAGAGUAAAAAAAAAAAAUAAGGAAAGCUGACUUGGCAACGUGCGAAUUAAUGGCAACAUGGCCUGGCACUUGGAAAUUGCUCGAUCAAGUGGUCAUUGCCAGGAAUCUAGCUGUUUCAGCCACCUGUGUCACACUGGGGACUUCGCGGCUGCUCUUCUUUAGGUUUCGUCGUCUGCUAACCCAUAUGAACUUUGACGUGUAGGCCAAUGUGCUCAGCCCAUGUGUCUCCCAUACUGCAUGAGCUGUGUCGCCGUACGCCACGAAUCACGUGCCCUUUUCAAAAGUAUCCACGUAUCUACGUGAUUGGAUAUGUUUUUUUUAAUGUGUACCAUAUAUGCAUGACUGGAAGGAUACCCUUUUCAAAAUAUGUACCGUAUCUACAUGAUUGGAAGAUAUGCUUUUCUAUGAAUAUGUACCAGAUAAACAUGAGUGGAAGGUUACCCUUUUCAAGAUAUUUACCGUAUCUACAUGAUUGGAAGAUAUACUUUUUUAUAAAUAUCUACCGUACAUGCACGAUUGGAAGGUUAUCCUUUUCAAAAUAUGUACCCUAUCGACAUGAUUGGAAGAUACGCUGUUUUCCAAAUAUGUAGUGCGUUUGCGUGACUGGAAGAUGAGCAUUUAAAUAAAUGCAACCCCAACUUGGA
Ornithodoros turicata is the source of this 6673-nucleotide long non-coding RNA. RefSeq lists it as uncharacterized. The transcript has 2 exons. The record is from RefSeq and is a predicted model, not a curated record. NCBI's taxonomy places the organism in Eukaryota, Metazoa, Arthropoda, Arachnida, Ixodida, Argasidae.